Molecule: ribosomal RNA, 496 nt
Filed under: uncultured bacterium
Lineage: Bacteria
Description: partial 16S ribosomal RNA
Rfam family: Bacterial small subunit ribosomal RNA
Source: RNAcentral
GAUGAACGCUGGCGGCGUGCCUAAUACAUGCAAGUCGAGCGAACAGACGAGGAGCUUGCUCCUCUGACGUUAGCGGCGGACGGGUGAGUAACACGUGGAUAACCUACCUAUAAGACUGGGAUAACUUCGGGAAACCGGAGCUAAUACCGGAUAAUAUAUUGAACCGCAUGGUUCAAUAGUGAAAGACGGUUUUGCUGUCACUUAUAGAUGGAUCCGCGCCGCAUUAGCUAGUUGGUAAGGUAACGGCUUCCAAGGCAACGAUGCGUAGCCGACCUGAGAGGGUGAUCGGCCACACUGGAACUGAGACACGGUACAGACUCCUACGGGCGGCAGCAGUAGGGAAUCUUCCGCAAUGGGCGGAAGCCUGACGGAGCAACGCCGCGUGGGUGAUGAAGGUCUUCGGAUCGUAAAACUCUGUUAUUAGGGAAGAACAAAUGUGUAAGUAACUAUGCACGUCUUGACGGUACCUAAUCAGAAAGCCACGGCUAACUACGUG